Molecule: ribosomal RNA, 162 nt
Filed under: Airyantha schweinfurthii
Lineage: Eukaryota; Viridiplantae; Streptophyta; Magnoliopsida; Fabales; Fabaceae
Description: 5.8S ribosomal RNA
Rfam family: 5.8S ribosomal RNA
About the family: 5.8S ribosomal RNA (5.8S rRNA) is a component of the large subunit of the eukaryotic ribosome. It is transcribed by RNA polymerase I as part of the 45S precursor that also contains 18S and 28S rRNA. Functionally, it is thought that 5.8S rRNA may be involved in ribosome translocation.
Source: RNAcentral
GAAUGACUCUCGGCAACGGAUAUCUCGGCUCUUGCAUCGAUGAAGAACGUAGCGAAAUGCGAUACUUGGUGUGAAUUGCAGAAUCCCGUGAACCAUCGAGUCUUUGAACGCAAGUUGCGCCCGAAGCCAUUAGGCUGAGGGCACGCCUGCCUGGGUGUCACA